GUGAGGGGCCUGUGGUCCCAGAAGGGGGCCCUAGUUUAUAGCAACAGUGCUUCCACCAAGAGCUGCUGGCACAGUCCCUGUGGAAAAGGCCUGGUCCCAUUGCUCCUCCCAGGGCGGAGAGCGGCCAUCAGUCCUUUGGUGGGAAGAAGUCAAGGAAAAACAAGCAACAGGAAUGUGAGGAGACAGACUGGUGAUACCCACAGGCAGGAAUGGGUCCCAGUCCCCACCCCCAGG
Molecule: long non-coding RNA, 234 nt
Organism: Pipistrellus kuhlii (Kuhl's pipistrelle)
Lineage: Eukaryota; Metazoa; Chordata; Mammalia; Chiroptera; Vespertilionidae
Exons: 3
Source: RefSeq, a predicted model, not a curated record